UUUGGACCCAUCUGCUCAGCUACGAAUC
This 28-nucleotide non-coding RNA is filed under the name Cricetulus griseus (Chinese hamster). The record is from RNAcentral. Lineage: Eukaryota; Metazoa; Chordata; Mammalia; Rodentia; Cricetidae.